GGGCGAGCCAAGUCGUGAGGCGGAGCUAAUCCCUUAAAGCCAUUCUCAGUUCGGAUUGUAGGCUGAAACUCGCCUACAUGAAGCUGGAGUUACUAGUAAUCGCAGAUCAGAAUGCUGCGGUGAAUGCGUUCCCGGGUCUUGUACACACCGCCCGUCACACCACGGAAGUUGGGGGCGCCCGAAGCCACUUAGCUAACCCUUUUGGGAAGCGAGUGUCGAAGGUGAAAUCAAUAACUGGGGUGAAGUCGUAACAAGGUAUC
This 260-nucleotide ribosomal RNA is filed under the name uncultured bacterium. Its description in RNAcentral is "partial 16S ribosomal RNA". It matches the Rfam family "Bacterial small subunit ribosomal RNA", at positions 1244 to 1500 of the family's 1533-position model. The record is from RNAcentral.